CCUUUCCCUGCAUCGUUUUGGAGGUAACCGAGCUGCGUAAUUAUAUUUGCACUUCCAGAAGACUGCAUCAGAGUCCCCUUAUUGGUUUGAAAUUCCAUUAAAUAUAUUGCAAGAGCUCCUAGGUUAAGCUUGAUUUAAAUUUGCAUACAUUUUCAUAUAUUUAGCAGAAAUAAAAGAAGGCUUGCAGCUACCAGAAAGUCAUUAAGGCAUUAGUUUCUCUGAGAAGACAGAUCUGAAGAAAAUUCAAGAAAAUGAGAAAAUAGAUCUAAAUAAGGUGGAGUUGAAUACAGUGGUUAACUACAAGCAAUAUGUUCUGAGGAUGAUGGUGUUCAGGCAAAUACCCCAUUUGAUUCUGAUAAAUUGGAUGCAAGACUUUGACCAGCAUGAGAAGAACAGGCAUUGUGGAAGCAGGCAGCAUCCCAGACCUGUGCAGGAACUCAGCAGGACAAGAACAAGUCGGGGGAAAAUAUUCCCAGUGUUGUGUUGCUCCUGGUGGCUCAGGCAGUUUGAACAGGGGCCUGUGGUGGUCCAGCUCGUUGGAAACUUUUGUGCAGAAACCAGGAGGAUGCUACAGCUGGAGCUAAUCCCUGAUGUGAAUUGAAGAAAUAUUUGGAAACAGAGGUGAUUGUUACCUUUCUGGGCUUGGGUGUUCAUGGAGCAUUUCUGAGCAACACCUAAAAUUCAGUUUCCAAGGCUGGAGGCAGCAAAAGGCAAGUUUUGUAAAGACAAAAUGAGACCAAUGGGAAGAAAUUUCCUCCCAGCAUAUUGGGACCCCUUCUCAACAAUAAAAACCACCUAAGUAACCCUGAUGUUUGUGGAUUUUGUAGCUGUGUGUUCAGGCCAAACACGAGGCAACAUUUCCCCUGGAUUUAUGGAGUUUAACAGCGCAGGGAGUUUGGGAUCUUCACAAACUGUAACCAUAUUUUACUGGUGGCAAAUCUUUUGUGAUCCAAGCUCGUUCGUGAUGGGAAUGGGCUCAAGAUUUCAAAUCUGUGCCUGCGCCGGUUUUGACACCGUGCAAUGAGGCAUCCGAGCUCUCAGAUGUCUGGCUCUUCCGAGUUGUGAAAUGAGAAAACAAACAAACCCAACCAUUCCAGCCCUGUCAAUCUCCUUCUCAGUGGACAGAUGCCCUGGUGCCAGAAAAGCUUCAUCCCACGAUCCCACACCUCUUGGCAGUGCCAAAAAAAAAGCCAGAGAUCUACUGGACGCGAAAGCACGACGGUUCCUCACCCCAAAAAAUGGGAUUUAUGGCCACACUGGAGCUCCUGGGUGAGGCUGUGUGGGGAAAUGAGUGCAGCCUCUUCCUCUGGCAUUCCUGGUCUCCCAGAUAAUCCAUCUGAUCUGCUCCUGGAGCAAGGUGCCUCUGGACAGUGAUGGAUUAACAGGAGAGGGUCCAGGUUUCUGGAAUGCGCCAGGCUAAGAAUUUGCCAAGGGCAUCAACAGCAGUUUUCCCAGGCUCCAGCACAAGGAUUAUGUAGUCAAUCCACAAAUGACUCAAAUCUUUGAAGAAAAGGACAUGGUUAUCAGAGAGGCUUUGACGACAGCAAGGACGGGGAGUGCUAUCUGCCUUUUUCCAUCAGAGAUCCCCAUUCCCUCUCAUUAACAUACCCAGGACAUCAGCACAGCCAUCGGGCCCGAGGGAAUUGCUUCCAACUUUUAAGGGAAUAUUCACAAGACCUCACCCCUGUGUUGUUUCAGACAGAUCAAACCAGAUUUGCCUCGUGUAAGGGUUCUUCAAUCCCACUGAAGAUGUGAAAGCUGCUGCUGCUGUAAGUGGGGAAAGGAGAUGUCUCUACCUGCUCUCUCCCAGUGCCCUGCAAUGAAAAAUGCUUUUGGAGCAACACUGGAAAUAAGCCAUCAAAAUAUCUGAUUAAACCGCUUAGGAAACUCUCACUAAUCACCUUCUCUGCUCUUGAUGGAAUGUAUUUAUGCAUUAUAAAUAUACUUACUAUGUGUGUGUGCUCCAUAAAUCACACCCAGCACUUGUAUAUGAUGUAUAAGCACAUUCUAUAGAACACACACAAAUACAGAUGCCAAGCUCCCACAGAGUUCAUCACUGGCAAGUGUUUGAAGGAUCUGAUCCUUAAUAUUUAAUGAGCAAGAUGCUAUUUCCUUCCUCAGCUUUUAUCUCUGGUUUGGCAUAGUCAUUAAAUUUGUUGUUUCCUUGCAGGAUUAUAUAAUUUAUGACCUAAUUGUAGACUUUUGUGUAACCGCGUUGAAACACUCGUGGCGUAUCCCGGUUUCUCCACACGGAGUGUUCCAGCAUCAGCCACCAGCUCCAGCAUGACUUCUGUGAGCUGCCUGUCAGCAAGGAGUCACAGGCAUGAAAGGAAUACAGCCCAACAAUAUUCAGGCAGCAUUAGAAGAUUAGUUUGUGGGGGUUUUUGCCCUGCAAAAAACAUGAUUUAGCAGCAUUUCCAAAGCCGUCUGCGGUGCUGGCAGGAAUCCCCAGGAAACAAUUCUCCCCUUUUGAGGGGAUAAAGUGCAAUGGAAAUAGGACUGCUCAGUGGAGAAUUCCUUGUGGCAGAAGGAUGGGCAGCAUGGAGAUUUCUGAGAUGGUUUGGAUGUCACUUCCAUCAAGUAGAAGGAAUGUUAUGUUAAAACUGUUUAUCAAAGCUGAGAACUCAUGGAUUAUUUUGUUGAAAAGUCAAGACAACAAUCACUGAUUUUUUUUCCCCAGGGCAGAGAUUUUGUGUUAGAGGAGAAAAUGAGAAAACAACCAGACCCCAAAAGAGGGAAAAAGGGAAAACCUGAGAUUACAGCAGAGAAAAGGUAUCAAAAUUUGGAAAAGAAAUUUAAUGGAGCCCUAGUUGUAUCUAAAAUCCAUGAUUGUUUUGAAAUACAGGGAACCACUGUCACAUUAUUUGUUCAGAGGGGCUCUAUAGUCAGAAAAUCUUCAUCUCUUGUAUCCCACUUUCAAGAGUUCAGUCUAUUCCAUUCUGAAAUCCCAAAAGACAGGGAAAACACCUGGAUUUAUGGUUCUUGGGAGUAUUGGGAUUAGAUGCAAGCAGCUGGGUUUCCCAGGAAUGUUAUUCUGGAAUAAUAUUUAAGUAACACAAGUUCUGGCGCAGUGCUGGGGGGUGGUGUGGGUACAGGAGCACUGUCAGGUGGACUUGAAACUGGAAAGAUUCCUUGUCACAUAACUGAUCCCAAAUUUCACUUGGGAUUUUUUACCAAGUUUCCAUUCCCAUUGCAAAUAUAUGGAUAACAUAUUUAGGCAUUAUCCUUAAAAAAGUAAAUAAAUAAUUUCUUUAAGAGAUGGGUGAUCUGUAGAAGACAUUUGUGUAAUUUUGCAUUCUAAAUGUGAUUUAUAUUUAUAAAUAAAUUUGCAUAAAAUCUCCAGGUCUCGAUGUCAUAGUUCUAUUCUAUCUUUAAUUCAGAUGCUCAAAAAAUGUAAAUUGUUUUUACAGCUAAAUAAAAGCCAUACAAAUCUACCAGGAGAGAAUAAUGAGAUACACAUUGUGCCAUGCAGCCAUGAUAAAUCAAGCAGCACCAUGGUUACUGCCAAAUUGUGAGGCUAUCAGAAACCAAGGAAUAUCAGCACAUAGAGAUUCCUUUGGUUUUGCAGAGUAAUCUGAACUAGGAGAAAUUUAUG
RNA transcript from Camarhynchus parvulus, 3595 nucleotides. RefSeq lists it as uncharacterized. Lineage: Eukaryota; Metazoa; Chordata; Aves; Passeriformes; Thraupidae. The transcript is spliced from 9 exons. The record is from RefSeq and is a predicted model, not a curated record.